This is a non-coding RNA of Frankia sp., 118 nucleotides long. Lineage: Bacteria; Bacillati; Actinomycetota; Actinomycetes; Frankiales; Frankiaceae. The record is from Rfam.
GGAGGUUGGCCCUCCGGGAUCGCUCUGCAUGGGGGAGGUCUCAAACCGCCGUAGGCUGCGUCGGUGAAUGAGCCGGGGUGGUGAGCGCUGCGGAAAAGGCGCACGGGAUGCGUCAGGU